CAGCCGCCGCGGUAAGACAGAGGAUGCAAGCGUUAUCCGGAAUGAUUGGGCGUAAAGGGCUCGCAGGCGGUUUCUUAAGUCUGAUGUGAAGGCCCCGGCUCAACCGGGGAGGGUCAUUGGAAACUGGGAAACUUGAGUGCAGAAGAGGAGAGUGGAAUUCCACGUGUAGCGGUGGAAUGCGUAGAGAUGUGGAGGAACACCAGUGGCGAAGGCGACUCUCUGGUCUGUAACUGACGCUGAGGAGCGAAAGCGUGGGGAGCGAACAGGAUUAGAUACCCGCGUAGUCCCUGUCUCUUAUACC
This 301-nucleotide ribosomal RNA is filed under the name uncultured bacterium. Its description in RNAcentral is "partial 16S ribosomal RNA". It matches the Rfam family "Bacterial small subunit ribosomal RNA", at positions 509 to 808 of the family's 1533-position model. The record is from RNAcentral.